UGGGGGAUUUUGCACAAUGGGCGCAAGCCUGAUGCAGCGACGCCGCGUGAGGGAUGAAGGCCUUCGGGUUGUAAAACUCUUUCGCUGGGUUGAAAGGCCAUGCUUUGGGUGUGGUUGAUUUGAACUGGUAAAGAAGUACCGGCUAACUACGUGCCAGCAGCCGCGGUAAUACGUAGGGUACUAGCGUUGGCCGGAUUUAUUGGGCGUAAAGGGCCUGUAGGUGGUUUGUCGCGUCUGUCGUGUAAUCCUGUGGCUUAACCAUGGGCUUGCGGUGGGUACGGGCAGGCUUGAGUGCGGUAGGGGAGACUGGAAUUCCUGGUGUAGCGGUGGAAUGCGCAGAUAUCAGGAGGAACACCGGUGGCGAAGGCGGGUCUCUGGGCCGUUACUGACACUGAGGAGCGAAAGCGUGGGGAGCGAACAGG
RNAcentral lists this ribosomal RNA (422 nucleotides) under Fusobacteriota bacterium. RNAcentral describes it as "Fusobacteria bacterium partial 16S ribosomal RNA". It matches the Rfam family "Bacterial small subunit ribosomal RNA", at positions 355 to 776 of the family's 1533-position model. The record is from RNAcentral. Lineage: Bacteria; Fusobacteriati; Fusobacteriota.